GAUGAACGCUGGCGGCGUGCCUAACACAUGCAAGUCGAGCGAACAGACGAGGAGCUUGCUCCUCUGACGUUAGCGGCGGACGGGUGAGUAACACGUGGAUAACCUACCUAUAAGACUGGGAUAUCUUCGGGAAACCGGAGCUAAUACCGGAUAAUAUAUUGCACCGCAUGGUUCAAUAGUGAAAGACGGUUUUGCUGUCACUUAUAGAUGGAUCCGCGCCGCUUUAGCUAGUUCGUAAGGUAACGGCUUACCAAGGCAACGAUGCGUAGCCGACCUGAGAGGGGGAUCGUCCACACUGGAACUGAGACGCGGUCCAGACUCCUACGGGAGGCAGCAGUGGGGUAUCUUACACAAUAGGCGGAAGCCUAACGGGACAACGCCGCGUGAGUGGUGAAGAUCUUCCGAUCGGAAUACUCUGUUAUUAGGGAAGAACAAAUGUGUAAGUAACUAUGCACGUCUUGACGGUACCUAAUCAGAAAGCAACGGCUAACUACGUG
Molecule: ribosomal RNA, 497 nt
Filed under: uncultured bacterium
Lineage: Bacteria
Description: partial 16S ribosomal RNA
Rfam family: Bacterial small subunit ribosomal RNA
Source: RNAcentral